Molecule: long non-coding RNA, 2940 nt
Organism: Limulus polyphemus (Atlantic horseshoe crab)
Lineage: Eukaryota; Metazoa; Arthropoda; Merostomata; Xiphosura; Limulidae
Exons: 2
Source: RefSeq, a predicted model, not a curated record
UGUAUCAAGCGUCUAUAUGCAAAGAAAAGCCAAAAACUCUGGUUUUUAUCAUUAAAUGAAGAUAUAGCCUAAAGAUGCUUUGCGAGCUUUACGGCAUAACCAUAUUUCAUUGCCCAGGCCCCUACCCCCCCUGUUGGCAGGCCUGAUCAUAAAGAAUAUAAUCAUUGUCACUUAAGGUCAUCACUGCCUAAAGAAGAUGAGGCACUGUCUUCCAAAAUUCCCUUUAAGGCCUCAGCUGUUGUAAGCCUUGCUUUGAUAGCCAUUUUAAUUCUCUUAUGUAUUUAUAAAGAAGAAAGAGAUGAUAAUAAAACAGUUCUAUGUUAUCGAUUUUGGGGUCCAUUGAUUUGAAAUAUGGUAGACAUUAAUUUCUUAAAUAUGGUUUAUCUAUGCUCUAUGUCAUACCUGUGGGACAAUACAGUUAUAUAAAACUUCGACCUCUAAUCUGAAACAAAAUGCCCUGGGGUUCAUUGCACUCCAAAAAUUAUGACUAGGGUUUAAAUAACAAUAACUUUUAUGUUAUUCUUUAUUUUAAUACUGGCUUAAAACUUUGUGAUCCAGUUCAGGUUUUAAAAUAGGUGUGUGUUUCAUAAUUGUACAGAAUAUAUAGCAGGUCACUGAUUUUUUCUAACUUUGGAAUGUGAAGUUUUGCAAUACAUUUAUAAAAGUGAAGUUGGAAAUGAUGGAAAUCCAAAGACACCCCCUUAUAUUAAGUAGAAAUUAAUGUGAGUGUUGUAGUGUAAGCACAAACGAUUUCAGAUACUACAGGUUGUGAUAUUUGUUAGAUAUCCAACUAACCCAUUAUCCAAGACUUAUUUCACAAAACUUAUUGCUAAUAAAAAGGUAUGUCACAAAAACAUAAAAAUACUGGUAAUAUGAAAAUUGAGUUGUUCUCACAUAAGAGAAAUAGUUGUCUUUAGAUCACAUUGACUGUGUAUUUCACACAUUAGUUUGGAAAGUUAGACUUUGUGUGAAAACUUAUUCCUUAGAUGUAGUAUGACAUGCAUGUUUAGAAGUCUUACUUUCAACUGCUGUUAUUUAUCUGAUGAAAAGACCUGUGUUUGCUCUUUUGUUGUGGAGUUUCCAUUGCAGUGUGUAUCACAAGAUUAGUUUUUUAAGGUGAAAUACUUUAUCAUUAAAAUUGUUUUAGGGUUUUUAUUGUAGUAAUAACAAACUACAACUUUCAUGGAUACAUACACGUUAGGAAGCACUUAACGUUGAAGUGCCAAGUGCAUGUAAAGAGAUUCAAGAAUUUUUUUAAAUUCCAAUUUUUCUUCUAUUUGAAGUGGAUUUUGUUUCAAACUUACUUAGUAGAACAACUUAUUUAGUAGAACAAAGCCACACAUAUCAAAGUGUGGUAAGGUUUCUUGUGCCACAUCAUAUGAAUAUUUUUAGUGUACCAGCAGUAUUGUAAUAUAAUUUGAGAAAGUGUUGUGAUUUAUUUUCUUAAUUUUUGAAAACAAGCUAUCUUGAAGUAUCUGUCGCUGACAGUAUGUAUUUAUUGAGGAGUUGGAUAGUGCACUGAGAAGUACAUAUCAGGUUGGUAGGAACGAGAGUUGGAUAGUGCAUUGAGAAGUACAUAUCAGGUUGGUAGGAACAAGAGUUGGAUAGUGCACUAAGAAGUACAUAUCAGGUUGGUAGGAACAAGAGCUGGAUAGUGCAGUGAGAAGUACAUAUCAGGUUGGUAGGAACAAGAGCUGGAUAGUGCAGUGAGAAGUACAUAUCAGGUUGGUAGGAACGAGAGUUGGAUAGUGCAUUGAGAAGUACAUAGGUUGGUAGGAAUAAGAGCUGGAUAGUGCAAUAAGAAGUACAUAUCAGGUUGGUAGGAACAAGAGUUGGAUAGUGCACUAAGAAGUACAUAUCAGGUUGGUAGGAACAAGGGCUGGAUAGUGCAGUGAGAAGUACAUAUCAGGUUGGUAGGAAUAAGAGCUGGAUAGUGCAAUAAGAAGUACAUAUCAGGUUGGUAGGAACAAGAGUUGGAUAGUGCACUAAGAAGUACAUAUCAGGUUGGUAGGAAUAAGAGCUGGAUAGUGCAAUAAGAAGUACAUAUCAGGUUGGUAGGAACAAGAGUUGGAUAGUGCACUAAGAAGUACAUAUCAGGUUGGUAGGAACAAGAGUUGAAUAGUGCACUAAGAAGUACAUAUCAGGUUGGUAGGAACAAGAGCUGGAUAGUGCAGUGAGAAGUACAUAGGUUGGUAGGAACAAGAGCUGGAUAGUGCACUAAGAAGUACAUAUCAGGUUGGUAGGAACAAGAGUUGAAUAGUGCACUAAGAAGUACAUAUCAGGUUGCUAGCAACAGUUCAAGAGGAACUAUGAAGCAAAUUUUUUAAAUAUUCAAAAGUCGACAUCACAUGUAUAAUUUGCAUCCAUAUUUUAUAGGAAUAAUGAGCUCAUCAUGAAAUUGAUGUCUUUUUAACAGUAUUUGAAGUUUUAAUGUAACAAUAAUGUUUUUUAGCAUUACUUUUUAUGAAUUUUGAAUAAUAUACAUAGGUUUCCUGUUGUAUUGAAAAAAAACGGUCAAUGAUUGAGAUGAGAGCCGUGUUAUUCUUUAUUUCAGUAUCACUAGCUGGUGUUAAAACGACCUUAAAUUAUCUUCUGGUCUUAUUUUCUUCUUAUAUUUUUUAAGAUUAUUAGAAUUAAACAUAUGCUUUCUCAGGUUAUGGAUAAUUCUAGCAAUUCAGCCUUUCCGUGAGCUUCUUGUUCUGGUGUUCCGAUAAAAGAUUGGUAUCUGUUGCUUCAUGUAACUGAAAUAAGGCAUCUUUUAAUAUAUUUUCCUUUAUAUUAAGAAAGUCAUUUUUUUAAAACUAAUUUUCUAAAUUUUUGGUGGAUGAAUAAUAAGUGCAUGGGCAAGUUUACUUCUAAUUUGUUUUUGCCAAGGUGUGUAUACAUGUUGAAAUUGUAAGCUAGAAAACAAAAGAUUUAAAUAAAGUUGUUUUUGUUUGA